This 253-nucleotide ribosomal RNA is filed under the name uncultured bacterium. Its description in RNAcentral is "partial 16S ribosomal RNA". It matches the Rfam family "Bacterial small subunit ribosomal RNA", at positions 524 to 776 of the family's 1533-position model. The record is from RNAcentral.
UACGGAGGGGGCUAGCGUUGUUCGGAAUUACUGGGCGUAAAGCGCACGUAGGCGGACCAGCAAGUUGGGGGUGAAAUCCCGGGGCUCAACCCCGGAACUGCCUUCAAAACUGCGGGUCUGGAGGUCGAGAGAGGUGAGUGGAAUUCCGAGUGUAGAGGUGAAAUUCGUAGAUAUUCGGAGGAACACCAGUGGCGAAGGCGGCUCACUGGCUCGAACCUGACGCUGAGGUGCGAAAGCGUGGGGAGCGAACAGG